AGAGUUUGAUCAUGGCUCAGAUUGAACGCUGGCGGCAGGCCUAACACAUGCAAGUCGAGCGGUAGCACAGAGAGCUUGCUCUCGGGUGACGAGCGGCGGACGGGUGAGUAAUGUCUGGGAAACUGCCUGAUGGAGGGGGAUAACUACUGGAAACGGUAGCUAAUACCGCAUAACGUCGCAAGACCAAAGUGGGGGACCUUCGGGCCUCAUGCCAUCAGAUGUGCCCAGAUGGGAUUAGCUAGUAGGUGGGGUAACGGCUCACCUAGGCGACGAUCCCUAGCUGGUCUGAGAGGAUGACCAGCCACACUGGAACUGAGACACGGUCCAGACUCCUACGGGAGGCAGCAGUGGGGAAUAUUGCACAAUGGGCGCAAGCCUGAUGCAGCCAUGCCGCGUGUGUGAAGAAGGCCUUCGGGUUGUAAAGCACUUUCAGCGGGGAGGAAGGCGUUAAGGUUAAUAACCUUGGCGAUUGACGUUACCCGCAGAAGAAGCACCGGCUAACUCCGUGCCAGCAGCCGCGGUAAUACGGAGGGUGCAAGCGUUAAUCGGAAUUACUGGGCGUAAAGCGCACGCAGGCGGUCUGUCAAGUCGGAUGUGAAAUCCCCGGGCUCAACCUGGGAACUGCAUUCGAAACUGGCAGGCUAGAGUCUUGUAGAGGGGGGUAGAAUUCCAGGUGUAGCGGUGAAAUGCGUAGAGAUCUGGAGGAAUACCGGUGGCGAAGGCGGCCCCCUGGACAAAGACUGACGCUCAGGUGCGAAAGCGUGGGGAGCAAACAGGAUUAGAUMCCCUGGUAGUCCACGCCGUAAACGAUGUCGAUUUGGAGGUUGUGCCCUUGAGGCGUGGCUUCCGGAGCUAACGCGUUAAAUCGACCGCCUGGGGAGUACGGCCGCAAGGUUAAAACUCAAAUGAAUUGACGGGGGCCCGCACAAGCGGUGGAGCAUGUGGUUUAAUUCGAUGCAACGCGAAGAACCUUACCUGGUCUUGACAUCCACAGAACUUUCCAGAGAUGGAUUGGUGCCUUCGGGAACUGUGAGACAGGUGCUGCAUGGCUGUCGUCAGCUCGUGUUGUGAAAUGUUGGGUUAAGUCCCGCAACGAGCGCAACCCUUAUCCUUUGUUGCCAGCGGUCCGGCCGGGAACUCAAAGGAGACUGCCAGUGAUAAACUGGAGGAAGGUGGGGAUGACGUCAAGUCAUCAUGGCCCUUACGACCAGGGCUACACACGUGCUACAAUGGCAUAUACAAAGAGAAGCGACCUCGCGAGAGCAAGCGGACCUCAUAAAGUAUGUCGUAGUCCGGAUUGGAGUCUGCAACUCGACUCCAUGAAGUCGGAAUCGCUAGUAAUCGUAGAUCAGAAUGCUACGGUGAAUACGUUCCCGGGCCUUGUACACACCGCCCGUCACACCAUGGGAGUGGGUUGCAAAAGAAGUAGGUAGCUUAACCUUCGGGAGGGCGCUUACCACUUUGUGAUUCAUGACUGGGGUGAAGUCGUAACAAGGUAACCGUAGGGGAACCUGCGGUUG
This 1520-nucleotide ribosomal RNA is filed under the name Klebsiella pneumoniae. Its description in RNAcentral is "bacterial SSU rRNA". It matches the Rfam family "Bacterial small subunit ribosomal RNA". The record is from RNAcentral. Lineage: Bacteria; Pseudomonadati; Pseudomonadota; Gammaproteobacteria; Enterobacterales; Enterobacteriaceae.